This 161-nucleotide transfer RNA is filed under the name Candidatus Woesearchaeota archaeon. RNAcentral describes it as "tRNA-Arg". The record is from RNAcentral. Lineage: Archaea; Nanobdellati; Candidatus Woesearchaeota.
GCCCUCGUAGUCUAGCCUGGGCAACUUUUGCCAAAGUUGCAUCAAAAGCGUUCAAGUGGGAUUUUCAAUCCCACGACAGAUGAAAUUACUUUGGGAAGUUCGGGCAAAUAGGACACGAGCUUGCGGAGCUUGGAACCGGAGUUCAAAUCUCCGCGAGGGCG